Molecule: unclassified non-coding RNA, 23 nt
Filed under: Mus musculus (house mouse)
Lineage: Eukaryota; Metazoa; Chordata; Mammalia; Rodentia; Muridae
Description: oocyte_clustered_small_RNA12270
Source: RNAcentral
UGUAAUGCACUGGCUGGAGGAUG